CAAAACCUCCUGUUGCUUGUUAAAGACCCAUGUUACAGCUGAGUCUAACAGCGUCUCUUCCUCGGACUGCGCUGUGUAAAGACCGUCAUUUCUUUUUGGCCUACACCCCAUUCUGUCUUUAUUAUUGCAUAACAGAGGAGUAAAUACAGCAGAUUCAUCCUCUCUAAUGACUUCCUCGCCGGCCGCCUGUCCCUCGACACCUUGCUUCGGUUUGACUAAUGCCCUGCAUCCUGGUGAGUCCGAGCUGAAACACUGGGGAGGAUGCAGCGAUGUGGCACGAUGACAACAGCAGCAAGACAAAGGUGAUGCAGAGGUCACAGGAGGAUUGUACAAGGAGUGUCUUGUGCAUCAGAAACAUUAAGAAUGUAAUGUGCUAUUACUCUAUGGGCUGCCAGCUGCCUUCCUCCGGGCUCGGCUGAUAAUAGAGCAGGGCUUUAGGACUCGUCUGACAGCGAACACAUCACCACCGACAAGGGCCCUCGACACACCGCCGCCUUAAUACCAACCGUGCCCGCCGCUCCUUGGGCAAAAAUUGACAUCGUCUGGAGAGCAAAGCAAUCAGCCGACCCGACAACGCAGUAACUCCCUGUAAGAGCGGCAGUCGGUGGGGAUUUGCUGCUGGUGGUCUGUGGGUUUAAUUCACUGAUUCACCAAUCUGUUUCCUCCUAAUACCACCGGGGAUGAGAGCCCGACGAUGGCAGCAGCACAGAAAGAAAAACAUGAGGACAAACUCUGGCGUGUUGGUAUACAGAGCUGUAAAUACUCUGGAGAUCAGCACAGGUAAAGCAGACAAAAGGAGACCGCGGGCUGAACCCGGAGGAGUCGAGGCCCACAGCACAAACACAGGAACACGAAUGUGCUUCUGAGGGCAGAUGCUCUUCUUUUUAAAGAAACCUAUCUUGACAAGAGCAGUGCUAACAAGCUGCUGUUUGGCAGCUGUUGUCAGCAAAGGUGCAGACAGCAAAUAAAGAACACAAGUCAAAGUAGUCAUUCUGCAGAAGGCCACAUUUCCAGAAUAACGCAGGUUACAUCACAUUACUGGAUUAAAAUUGUGUUCAUCACUGUAAUGUUGCAGCUGGUGAAGGUGGAUCUGGUUUUAUUCAGUUCAGAUCCUGCUGAGGAGUUUGUGGAUCAAUAAAAUAU
Molecule: long non-coding RNA, 1143 nt
Organism: Monopterus albus (swamp eel)
Lineage: Eukaryota; Metazoa; Chordata; Actinopteri; Synbranchiformes; Synbranchidae
Exons: 3
Source: RefSeq, a predicted model, not a curated record